This 27-nucleotide ribosomal RNA is filed under the name uncultured organism. RNAcentral's name for it is "partial 16S ribosomal RNA". The record is from RNAcentral.
UGGGCUUGACAUGUUGGGAAAAGCCGU